UUCCGGUUGAUCCCGCCGGACCCCACUGCUAUCGAGAUGGGACUAAGGUAUGCUAGUCGAACGACCAGAACUAUGUCUGGGAGUGGCACACUGCUCAGUAACACGUAGCUAACCUACCCUUAGGACGUGGAUACCCCCGAGAAAUUGGGGUUAAUCCGCGAUAGAUGUAAUGUCCUGGAAUGGUAUUACGUCUAAAGGUAUUUCAUACAUGUUUGAAAUAUGCCUAAGGAUGGGGCUGCGGCCGAUCAGGCUGUUGGUGAGGUAAUGGCUCACCAAACCUUUGACCGGUACGGGCCAUGAGAGUGGUAGCCCGGAGAUGGACACUGAGACAAGGGUCCAGGCCCUAAGGGGCGCAGCAACCGCGAAACCUCCACAAUGCACUCACGUGCGAUGGGGCUAUCUCGAGUGCCACCUGAUGAAGGUGGCUUUUCCUAGGUCUUCAAAGCCUUGGGAAUAAGAGGGGGGCAAGACUGGUGUCAGCCGCCGCGGUAACACCAGCCCCUCGAGUGGUGGGGAUGAUUAUUUGGCCUAAAGCGUCCGUAGCCGGCCGAGCAAGUCUUCCGUUAAAUCCAGCGUCUCAAGCGUUGGACUGCGGGAGAUACUGCAGGGCUAGAGAGUGGGAGAGGUCAGCGGUAUUCUGGGGGUAGGGGCGAAAUCCUUUGAUCCCCGGAGGACCACCAGUGGCGAAGGCUGCUGACUAGAACACGUCUGACGGUCAGGGACGAAAGCUGGGGUAGCGAACCGGAUUAGAUAC
This 754-nucleotide ribosomal RNA is filed under the name uncultured archaeon. RNAcentral's name for it is "bacterial SSU rRNA". It matches the Rfam family "Archaeal small subunit ribosomal RNA", at positions 1 to 736 of the family's 1478-position model. The record is from RNAcentral.